Non-coding RNA from Biscogniauxia marginata, 86 nucleotides. The record is from the annotation of a GenBank genome assembly. Lineage: Eukaryota; Fungi; Ascomycota; Sordariomycetes; Xylariales; Xylariaceae.
GGGCUUGUAGCUCAGGGGUAGAGCGCUCGCUUUGCAUGCUUUACUAUGAUUGCGAGAGGUCUAGGGUUCAAAUCCCUACUGGUCCA